UACGGAGGAUGCGAGCGUUAUCCGGAUUUAUUGGGUUUAAAGGGUGCGUAGGCGGGACCUUAAGUCAGCGGUAAAAUUGCGGUGCUCAACGCCGUAGAGCCGUUGAAACUGGGGUUCUUGAGUGGGCGAGAAGUACGCGGAAUGCGCGGUGUAGCGGUGAAAUGCAUAGAUAUCGCGCAGAACUCCGAUUGCGAAGGCAGCGUACCGGCGCCAGACUGACGCUGAGGCACGAAAGCGUGGGGAUCGAACAGG
RNAcentral lists this ribosomal RNA (252 nucleotides) under uncultured Bacteroidales bacterium. Its description in RNAcentral is "partial 16S ribosomal RNA". It matches the Rfam family "Bacterial small subunit ribosomal RNA", at positions 524 to 776 of the family's 1533-position model. The record is from RNAcentral. Lineage: Bacteria; Pseudomonadati; Bacteroidota; Bacteroidia; Bacteroidales.